RNAcentral lists this ribosomal RNA (405 nucleotides) under uncultured bacterium. RNAcentral describes it as "bacterial SSU rRNA". It matches the Rfam family "Bacterial small subunit ribosomal RNA", at positions 354 to 776 of the family's 1533-position model. The record is from RNAcentral.
GUGGGGAAUAUUGCACAAUGGGGGGAACCCUGAUGCAGCGACGCCGCGUGAGUGAAGAAGUCAUUCGUGAUGUAAAGCUCUAUCAGCAGGGAAGAAAAUGACGGUACCUGACUAAGAAGCCCCGGCUAACUACGUGCCAGCAGCCGCGGUAAUACGUAGGGGGCAAGCGUUAUCCGGAUUUACUGGGUGUAAAGGGAGCGUAGACGGCAUAGCAAGUCCGGAGUGAAAGCCCGGGGCCCAACCCCGGGACUGCUCUGGAAACUGUUAAGCUUGAGUGCGGGAGGGGCAGGCGGAAUUCCUGGUGUAGCGGUGAAAUGCGUAGAUAUCAGGAGGAACACCGGCGGCGAAGGCGGCCUGCUGGACCGUAACUGACGUUGAGGCUCGAAAGCGUGGGGAGCAAACAGG